AAACCGAGCCCGUUGGCCUGGUACGGUGGCUGACGUCUGCAAUCCCAGCACCUUGGAAGGCUGAGGGAGGAAGAUCACUUCAGCCCAGGAGUUCGAAAACAGCCUGGGCAACAUGGCGAAACUCCCCUCUCUACAAAAAAUAAAAAAUUAGCCGGGCGAGGUGGUGCAUGCCUGUGGUUCCAGCUACUCAGGAGGUUGAGGUGGGAGGAUCCCUUGAGCCCAGGAGAUUGAGGCUGUAGUGAGCCAUGAUCACACCAUUCCAUUGCAUUCCAGCCCUGGCAACAGAGCAAGACCUUAUCUCAGGGGGAGAGUGAGAGAGAGAGGAUGAAGAAGAGAGAGAGGAGGUAGAGAGAGAGAAAGGAAAAAAAACCCAAACCCAUCAAUUACAGAGACACAGGGAAGGCCUAGCCAUUAGUGAGUUCUUGCUCCUUUCUUGCACUCUGCCUAGCAUGCUCACGACAACACUGAGUGGUGAGAGACUUCACCAAAGUCACAGGAGAGAAAGAACACUGGCUCCCUGCCUACCCACUAGUGGUUAAGCACAUGGACUAUGAGCCCAAACCACCACGUGGGGUCAAAUGUAGGCCCCCAGCCGGGCGCAGUGGCUCAGGCCUGUAAUCCCAGCACUAUGGGAGGCCGAGGUGGGCGGAUCACAAGCUCAGGAGAUCGAGACCAUCCUGGCCAAUAUGGUGAAACCCUGUCUCUACUAAAAAUACAAAAAUUAGCUGGGUGUGGCAGCGAGUGCCUGUAAUCCCAGCUAGUGGGGGGAGGCCGAGGCAGGAGAAUCGCUUGAAUCCGGGAGGCGGAGGUUGCAGUGAGGUGAGAUCGCGCCACUGGACUCCAGCCUGGCGACAGAGCUAGAUUCAGUCUCAAAAAAAAAAAAAAAAAAAAAAAAAAAAAAAAAAAAAAGUAGGCCCCCACCAAUUUCGUGUGACUCUAGGAAAGUUUCUUAACUUCAUUGUGCCUCAGUCUCCUCGUCUGUUAAGAUAAUUAUGGUAUUCACAAUGGAGGCUUGCUAUAGGGAUUAACUGAUUUAUGUAUAAAGCACUGAGGCGGUGGCUAGCACAUGGGAAACAUUCCAAGGCAGUCGCAGUUCUUUGAUGUCUCAGCUUUCAGUUUGUGAAUCAACUGCUACCAUGCCUGUCAUCUGUUCCAGAACCUCCAAUGACUCCCUUUGACUACAUCAGAGACUCUAAAGUGUUGUGUGUAUGUCUUUGGGGGGUGGACCACAGGG
This 1234-nucleotide long non-coding RNA is filed under the name Homo sapiens (human). RNAcentral describes it as "non-protein coding lnc-RHBDL2-2:1". Lineage: Eukaryota; Metazoa; Chordata; Mammalia; Primates; Hominidae. The record is from RNAcentral.